AUUGAACGCUGGCGGCAGGCCUAACACAUGCAAGUCGAACGAGUGGCGGACGGGUGAGUAAUAUAUCGGAACGUACCGAGUAAUGGGGGAUAACCAAUCGAAAGAUUGGCUAAUACCGCAUAUUAUUCGAGCGGCCGAUAACUGAUUAGCUAGUUGGUGGGGUAAAGGCCUACCAAGGCGACGAUCAGUAGCGGGUCUGAGAGGACGAUCCGCCACACUGGGACUGAGACACGGCCCAGACUCCUACGGGAGGCAGCAGUGGGGAAUUUUGGACAAUGGGGGCAACCCUGAUCCAGCCAUGCCGCGUGUAUGAAGAAGGCCUUCGGGUUGUAAAGUACUUUUGUUAGGGAAGCGUUACCAACAGAAUAAGCACCGGCUAACUUCGUGCCAGCAGCCGCGGUAAUAC
RNAcentral lists this ribosomal RNA (406 nucleotides) under uncultured bacterium. Its description in RNAcentral is "partial 16S ribosomal RNA". It matches the Rfam family "Bacterial small subunit ribosomal RNA", at positions 30 to 526 of the family's 1533-position model. The record is from RNAcentral.